CCUACGGGUGGCAGCAGUGAGGAAUAUUGGUCAAUGGACGAGAGUCUGAACCAGCCAAGUAGCGUGAAGGAUGACUGCCCUAUGGGUUGUAAACUUCUUUUAUAUGGGAAUAAAAUGUUCCACGUGUGGGAUUUUGUAUGUACCAUAUGCAUAAGGAUCGGCUAACUCCGUGCCAGCAGCCGCGGUAAUACGGAGGAUCCGAGCGUUAUCCGGAUUUAUUGGGUUUAAAGGGAGCGUAGGUGGAUUGUUAAGUCAGUUGUGAAAGUUUGCGGCUCAACCGUAAAAUUGCAGUUGAAACUGGCAGUCUUGAGUACAGUAGAGGUGGGCGGAAUUCGUGGUGUAGCGGUGAAAUGCUUAGAGAUCACGAAGAACUCCGAUUGCGAAGGCAGUUCACUGGACUGCAACUGACACUGAGGCUCGAAAGUGUGGGUAUCAAACAGGAUUAGAUACCCGGGUAGUC
Molecule: ribosomal RNA, 460 nt
Filed under: uncultured bacterium
Lineage: Bacteria
Description: partial 16S ribosomal RNA
Rfam family: Bacterial small subunit ribosomal RNA
Source: RNAcentral